Lactuca sativa (garden lettuce) is the source of this 1203-nucleotide non-coding RNA. NCBI's taxonomy places the organism in Eukaryota, Viridiplantae, Streptophyta, Magnoliopsida, Asterales, Asteraceae. The record is from RefSeq and is a predicted model, not a curated record.
UUUUUACAUAUGGAUAUGAAAAGAAUCUCAAAGAUCUCAAAACUCACAUUCCUAAAAGAUGUCAAUGCCUUCUCAUGGCUGCUACCUCAAGCUUGAAGAAGCUUUAUCUACACAAUCCCUAUAUUCUUACUUUAGCAGAAGUUGGUGAUGGAAAGGACGAAAUUGUCCCCAAAAAUGUUCAGCAAUUUUGGUUUGGUAUAAAAUCUGCUGUGUUAAAUGCUGAAUUGCCUGUGAAUUGACGUCUACAUAUUCUUGAGGGUUUUGGUUCUUAAAUGAAUAAAGAAAACAAAUUUCCUGGGCGGGAAAGAAGCAGACAUACUUGCUGGUAAGAUGAGUAUGGUACAGUUGCAAGGGCGGGACCAGUUGCUGACAGCACAAAAUGAAAUGCUCAAGGUACUCUACUCUACUGCUUCAUCAUAUAUGUCUGCAAGUUUGGUUGGCAGUUUCCCUUAUUACAGAUGCGUUGGCUGCAUCUGGUCAGGCGUUGAUUGCUAGUUCGGUUUCAAAAGGGAAUUAUAGAUCUGUGAAGGAUAUCACAUACUUCGUGUUGACUAUUGGUUUUGUGAUGGGUGUUACUUUGGCUGCAAUAUUGGGAGUUUCAUUUGGUUCCAUAGUCACACUGUUCACUAAGGACAUUGGAGUAUUGGCGAUUGCUAGAACCGGGGUUUUGUUUGUGAGUGCUAGUCAGCCUUUGAAUGCUUUUGCUUUUAUUGUUGAUGGUUUGCAUUAUGGAGUUUCAGACUUCCCGUAUGCUGCUUAUUCCAUGGUAUGCUUUUUUUUAGACAUGAAUAUAAAAUUACAUAUUUGCCCUUGGAUUAAUAUGUUUUCACUGUAGAUGCUUGUUGGGAUUUUAUCGUCUGUAAUUGCAACUUGUUAUGAGAUGGCCAAAACCAUUGCAUUUUGCAAUAGUUGAUGAACUUGAUUAUGUCCUAAUUGAUGAGGGAAGAAACCCAUUGCUGAUAAGGGGUGAGGCUAGCAAGGAUGCUGCACGUAACACAGUUGCUGCUAAAGUAGCUGAGCUUCUCAUGCGUGGCCUCGUAUUUUACUUUUUUGCCCUUCUUUUUCCUUUUUGAUGUCUUGUUAUCCAUCUCCAUUGUAUGCGUAUCUCAUUGUUUGUUCCACUACACAUCAUGUAAAUUUAUAUAUUGUAACAAAUAGAAUUGUAAGACAUUAAAUUUUAUGAAAUGGAUUAUAUUUUUUGUA